RNAcentral lists this ribosomal RNA (293 nucleotides) under uncultured rumen Ophryoscolecidae. RNAcentral's name for it is "partial 18S ribosomal RNA". It matches the Rfam family "Eukaryotic small subunit ribosomal RNA", at positions 1448 to 1769 of the family's 1831-position model. The record is from RNAcentral. Lineage: Eukaryota; Ciliophora; Litostomatea; Entodiniomorphida; Ophryoscolecidae.
AGGCAAUAACAGGUCAGUGAUGCCCUUAUAUGUCCUGGGCUGCACGCGUGCUACACUGAUGCAUACAACAAGUGCCUAACCAGACAUGGUAUGGCAAUCUCGAAUAUGCAUCGUGAUGGGGAUAGAUCUUUGCAAUUAUAGAUCUUGAACGAGGAAUUCCUAGUAAGUGCAAGUCAUCAUCUUGCAUUGAUUAUGUCCCUGCCCUUUGUACACACCGCCCGUCACUCCUACCGAUACCGGGUGAUCCGGUGAACCUUUUGGACUCUUUAUGGGAAAGAUAAGUAAACCAGUAU